Molecule: RNA transcript, 1709 nt
Organism: Magnolia sinica
Lineage: Eukaryota; Viridiplantae; Streptophyta; Magnoliopsida; Magnoliales; Magnoliaceae
Gene name: protein CHROMATIN REMODELING 20-like
Exons: 5
Source: RefSeq, a predicted model, not a curated record
UAAAGACAUUGAGGUGCCAACCAUGCAAACAUACAUAAUCAAUGUUUUAAAACCAGACUGGACCUUGGCCCUUUCUCCUGACCGGUCACACCCGUUCUGACCCAUUUCAACUAAAAAAUAUUCUUAUUUGUAAUCAUUAAAAAAUAGAAAGAACUAAAAAAUAAUAUGUCAUUGGCGUAGUGGUUCAGCCGUUUGAUUUCAAGUGGAGGUAGGGAAUUGAACUUUGACUGAUGCUUUUUUUAAAAAAAUAAAUACAAAAGCAGUAAAAAACAGUCAUCCACUUAACUGACUGGAUUUCUUGACCUGAAACAUUUGGUGGCUGUUCUGGUCCAAUGGCUCAGUCCACCUGGGUUUAAAACAUGUGCAUACUUGUGGUUAUAAGAGAAAAUAAAUUCUCUUUUUUCCCCCUUUUUUGUUGCACUACCAAUUAUGUUGGUGAUAACAUUAUGUUUAGGAUAUGUUUGUACGCAGCCGGCUUUGCUUGAAUCAGAUUGGAAGAACCCAUCCUUUUGAGUGGAAGACGGUGCAAAAAUAAUUGGAAAAGGCGCCCAUCUUAAUGUGUUUCUGCUUCCACAUGAAACUUUAUGGAUAAACCAAAUGCCUGAUCUUUUAGAUUGAAAUCUCUUUGGAUAAAAGAAUCCAAAGGAGUCAGGAUUCACCACCAUCCCAAACAGGACCCAAGUUCACAAUUAGUUGCAAUGUUGCUCUUCGAAAAAAAGAAAUCACUAUUAUUAACUUGUUCUGUGUUUGUAACAUUUUCUUGUAAGAAAUAAAGUGCACUAAUGUAACCUUAUACUUUUUAAUAAUACCUUGUAACAAGGUACAUUACCAAUCAGAUUUUCUGGCACAUGCACACCAAGGAAUAUUUUCAGCAAGCUUCUGAUGGAUGAAGAGAGUGACUCUUUUUUUAGGCUCAAUCACUACCCUCCAUGACCUGAACUUAAAGCAUUGAGUUGCAACUUAACUGGUUUUGGAGAACACACUGACCCUCAGAUAAUAUCAGUUCUGAGAUCAAACAAUACAUCAGGCCUUCAAAUCUCUCUCAGUGAUGGGAGCUGGGUUUCAGUCCCACCUGACCACAACUCCUUCGUCAUUGUUGGUUAUUCCUCGCAGGUAUGGGCAAACAAAGCCAGUUUAUGCAUAUCGUUUGAUGGCACAUGGAACUAUGGAAGAAAAAAUAUAUAAACGGCAGUUGGAAUGCUGAAGUUUAAAGAAUUAGUAGAGGCUUCUAUUGUGGUUCUCAGAUGUCGAAGAGCAUCAAAGCAUGCCUGCCCACUUUCAGUCCCAACUGAUUUGCUACUGGUCUACUUGUUGAGGAGACAUUGUCUGGUGCACCAGUCCAUACAGAUAAGGAGCCUCCUUAUUGUUGAAACAAAUGCACUUAGACAUUGGUGAAGCUGAAUUUUCUAGAUUCCAUUCUGGUACCAAACGUGGUGAUAUUGUUGGUGUCACUGGAAUUCCAGGUUGGUUGGUUUUCAUUUAUGUUCUUCAAUUCUAGCUAGCAAAACUUUUCCUGUAUCUUAUCCUUUGGGUAUUGGCUGUACUUGCAUGUCAAAAUAUUGAUUUCUUCCUUUGUAAACAGUGACACUUGAGCUUUGUAGGAGAAAGUGGAUCACUGAUUAUGUUAGACUUUUGGUAUUUGCAAAAGAGUGGAAAGCAGCAGCAAUGUGUUCAAAGUCUUAUGAAUAAAAGUUCAUUGGUCUAUUGUA